Molecule: ribosomal RNA, 1414 nt
Filed under: Salmonella enterica subsp. enterica serovar Typhi str. CT18
Lineage: Bacteria; Pseudomonadati; Pseudomonadota; Gammaproteobacteria; Enterobacterales; Enterobacteriaceae
Description: partial 23S ribosomal RNA
Rfam family: Bacterial large subunit ribosomal RNA
Source: RNAcentral
ACUUUAACACUGAGGCGUGACGACGAGGCACUACGGUGCUGAAGCAACAAAUGCCCUGCUUCCAGGAAAAGCCUCUAAGCAUCAGGUAACAUCAAAUCGUACCCCAAACCGACACAGGUGGUCAGGUAGAGAAUACCAAGGCGCUUGAGAGAACUCGGGUGAAGGAACUAGGCAAAAUGGUGCCGUAACUUCGGGAGAAGGCACGCUGACACGUAGGUGAAGUGAUUUACUCACGGAGCUGAAGUCAGCCGAAGAUACCAGCUGGCUGCAACUGUUUAUUAAAAACACAGCACUGUGCAAACACGAAAGUGGACGUAUACGGUGUGACGCCUGCCCGGUGCCGGAAGGUUAAUUGAUGGGGUCAGCGCAAGCGAAGCUCCUGAUCGAAGCCCCGGUAAACGGCGGCCGUAACUAUAACGGUCCUAAGGUAGCGAAAUUCCUUGUCGGGUAAGUUCCGACCUGCACGAAUGGCGUAAUGAUGGCCAGGCUGUCUCCACCCGAGACUCAGUGAAAUUGAACUCGCUGUGAAGAUGCAGUGUACCCGCGGCAAGACGGAAAGACCCCGUGAACCUUUACUAUAGCUUGACACUGAACAUUGAGCCUUGAUGUGUAGGAUAGGUGGGAGGCUUUGAAGUGUGGACGCCAGUCUGCAUGGAGCCGACCUUGAAAUACCACCCUUUAAUGUUUGAUGUUCUAACGUGGACCCGUGAUCCGGGUUGCGGACAGUGUCUGGUGGGUAGUUUGACUGGGGCGGUCUCCUCCUAAAGAGUAACGGAGGAGCACGAAGGUUGGCUAAUCCUGGUCGGACAUCAGGAGGUUAGUGCAAUGGCAUAAGCCAGCUUGACUGCGAGCGUGACGGCGCGAGCAGGUGCGAAAGCAGGUCAUAGUGAUCCGGUGGUUCUGAAUGGAAGGGCCAUCGCUCAACGGAUAAAAGGUACUCCGGGGAUAACAGGCUGAUACCGCCCAAGAGUUCAUAUCGACGGCGGUGUUUGGCACCUCGAUGUCGGCUCAUCACAUCCUGGGGCUGAAGUAGGUCCCAAGGGUAUGGCUGUUCGCCAUUUAAAGUGGUACGCGAGCUGGGUUUAGAACGUCGUGAGACAGUUCGGUCCCUAUCUGCCGUGGGCGCUGGAGAACUGAGGGGGGCUGCUCCUAGUACGAGAGGACCGGAGUGGACGCAUCACUGGUGUUCGGGUUGUCAUGCCAAUGGCACUGCCCGGUAGCUAAAUGCGGAAGAGAUAAGUGCUGAAAGCAUCUAAGCACGAAACUUGCCCCGAGAUGAGUUCUCCCUGAGACUUUAGGUCUCCUGAAGGAACGUUGAAGACGACGACGUUGAUAGGCCGGGUGUGUAAGCGCAGCGAUGCGUUGAGCUAACCGGUACUAAUGAACCGUGAGGCUUAACCUUACAACGCCGAAG